This 468-nucleotide ribosomal RNA is filed under the name uncultured bacterium. Its description in RNAcentral is "partial 16S ribosomal RNA". It matches the Rfam family "Bacterial small subunit ribosomal RNA", at positions 28 to 507 of the family's 1533-position model. The record is from RNAcentral.
GACGAACGCUGGCGGCGUGCUUAACACAUGCAAGUCGAACGGAAAGGCCCUGCUUUUGUGGGGUGCUCGAGUGGCGAACGGGUGAGUAACACGUGAGUAUCCUGCCCUUGACUUUGGGAUAACUUCAGGAAACUGGGGCUAAUACCGGAUAGGAGCUCCUGCUGCAUGGUGGGGGUUGGAAAGUUUCGGCGGUUGGGGAUGGACUCGCGGCUUAUCAGCUUGUUGGUGGGGUAGUGGCUUACCAAGGCUUUGACGGGUAGCCGGCCUGAGAGGGUGACCGGCCACAUGGGGACUGAGAUACGGCCCAGACUCCUACGGGAGGCAGCAGUGGGGAAUAUUGCACAAUGGGCGGAAGCCUGAUGCAGCAACGCCGCGUGCGGGAUGACGGCCUUCGGGUUGGAAACCGCUUUCGCCUGUGACGAAGCGUGAGUGACGGUAAUGGGUAAAGAAGCACCGGCUAACUACGUG